GGAGAGGUAACGGCUCACCAAGGCAUCGACGGGUAGCUGGUCUGAGAGGAUGAUCAGCCACACUGGAACUGGGACACGGUCCAGACUCCUACGGGAGGCAGCAGUGGGGAAUAUUGCACAAUGGGCGAAAGCCUGAUGCAGGGACGCCGCGUGAGGGAUGACGGCCUUCGGGUUGUAAACCUCUUUCAGCAGGGAAGAAGCGAAAGUGACGGUACCUGCAGAAGAAGCGCCGGCUAACUACGUACCAGCAGCCGCGGUAAUACGUAGGGCGCAAGCGUUGUCCGGAAUUAUUGGGCGUAAAGAGUUCGUAGGCGGCUUGUCACGUCGGUUGUGAAGGCCCGGGGCUUAACCCCGGGUCUGCAGUCGAUACGGGCAGGCUAGAGUUCGGUAGGGGAGAUCGGAAUUCCUGGUGUAGCGGUGAAAUGCGCAGAUAUCAGGAGGAACACCGGUGGCGAAGGCGGAUCUCUGGGCCGAUACUGACGCUGAGGAGCGAAAGCGUGGGGAGCGAACAGGAUUAGAUACCCUGGUAGUCCACGCCGUAAACGGUGGGCACUAGGUGUGGGCAACAUUCCACGUUGUCCGUGCCGCAGCUAACGCAUUAAGUGCCCCGC
Molecule: ribosomal RNA, 611 nt
Filed under: uncultured Actinomycetes bacterium
Lineage: Bacteria; Bacillati; Actinomycetota; Actinomycetes
Description: bacterial SSU rRNA
Rfam family: Bacterial small subunit ribosomal RNA
Source: RNAcentral